Molecule: non-coding RNA, 47 nt
Organism: Ixodes scapularis (black-legged tick)
Lineage: Eukaryota; Metazoa; Arthropoda; Arachnida; Ixodida; Ixodidae
Source: Rfam
UCAAAGGUUCCUCUUGGAACUCCAGCAUAUUUAUUAUAACCGUUUGU